This 663-nucleotide ribosomal RNA is filed under the name uncultured cyanobacterium. RNAcentral describes it as "bacterial SSU rRNA". It matches the Rfam family "Bacterial small subunit ribosomal RNA", at positions 99 to 795 of the family's 1533-position model. The record is from RNAcentral. Lineage: Bacteria; Bacillati; Cyanobacteriota.
CGGACGGGUGAGUAACGCGUGAGAAUCUGGCUUCAGGUCUGGGACAACCACUGGAAACGGUGGCUAAUACCGGAUGUGCCGAAAGGUGAAAGGUUAACUGCCUGAAGAUGAGCUCGCGUCUGAUUAGCUAGUUGGAAGUGUAAUGGACUCCCAAGGCGACGAUCAGUAGCUGGUCUGAGAGGACGAUCAGCCACACUGGGACUGAGACACGGCCCAGACUCCUACGGGAGGCAGCAGUGGGGAAUUUUCCGCAAUGGGCGAAAGCCUGACGGAGCAAUACCGCGUGAGGGAGGAAGGCUCUUGGGUCGUAAACCUCUUUUCUCAGGGAAGAACACAAUGACGGUACCUGAGGAAUAAGCAUCGGCUAACUCCGUGCCAGCAGCCGCGGUAAUACGGAGGAUGCAAGCGUUAUCCGGAAUGAUUGGGCGUAAAGCGUCCGCAGGUGGCAAUGUAAGUCUGCUGUUAAAGAGUCUAGCUCAACUAGAUAAGAGCAGUGGAAACUACAUAGCUAGAGUACGUUCGGGGCAGAGGGAAUUCCUGGUGUAGCGGUGAAAUGCGUAGAGAUCAGGAAGAACACCAGUGGCGAAGGCGCUCUGCUAGGCCGUAACUGACACUGAGGGACGAAAGCUAGGGGAGCGAAUGGGAUUAGAUACCCCAGUAGUC